RNAcentral lists this ribosomal RNA (493 nucleotides) under uncultured bacterium. Its description in RNAcentral is "partial 16S ribosomal RNA". It matches the Rfam family "Bacterial small subunit ribosomal RNA", at positions 28 to 506 of the family's 1533-position model. The record is from RNAcentral.
GACGAACGCUGGCGGCGUGCUUAACACAUGCAAGUCGAACGGUGAAGCGCCUUCCUUUUUGGUGGGUGUGGAUGAGUGGCGAACGGGUGAGUAACACGUGAGUAACCUGCCCCCUUCUUCUGGAUAACCGCAUGAAAGUGUGGCUAAUACGGGAUAUUCUGGGUCUGUCGCAUGAUGGGUCUGGGAAAGAUAUUGUUUCGGUGGGGGAUGGGCUCGCGGCCUAUCAGCUUGUUGGUGGAGUGAUGGCCUACCAAGGCGGUGACGGGUAGCCGGCCUGAGAGGGUGGACGGUCACACUGGGACUGAGACACGGCCCAGACUCCUACGGGAGGCAGCAGUGGGGAAUAUUGCACAAUGGGCGCAAGCCUGAUGCAGCGACGCCGCGUGAGGGAUGGAGGCCUUCGGGUUGUGAACCUCUUUCGCCAGUGAAGCAGGCCUGCCUCGUUUGUGGGUGGGUUGACGGUAGCUGGAUAAGAAGCGCCGGCUAACUACGU